This 501-nucleotide ribosomal RNA is filed under the name uncultured Dorea sp. RNAcentral's name for it is "bacterial SSU rRNA". It matches the Rfam family "Bacterial small subunit ribosomal RNA", at positions 1 to 507 of the family's 1533-position model. The record is from RNAcentral. Lineage: Bacteria; Bacillati; Bacillota; Clostridia; Lachnospirales; Lachnospiraceae.
GUAGAGUUUGAUCCUGGCGUCAGGAUGAACGCUGGCGGCGUGCCUAACACAUGCAAGUCGAGCGAAGCACAAGAAUACGAUUCUUCGGAUGAAGAUUCCUGUGACUGAGCGGCGGACGGGUGAGUAACGCGUGGGUAACCUGCCUUACACGGGGGAUAACAGUUAGAAAUGACUGCUAAUACCGCAUAAGACCACAGUACUGCAUGGUACAGUGGUAAAAACUGAGGUGGUGUAAGAUGGACCCGCGUCUGAUUAGGUAGUUGGUGGGGUAACGGCCCACCAAGCCGACGAUCAGUAGCCGGCCUGAGAGGGUGGACGGCCACAUUGGGACUGAGACACGGCCCAGACUCCUACGGGAGGCAGCAGUGGGGAAUAUUGCACAAUGGGGGAAACCCUGAUGCAGCGACGCCGCGUGAGCAAUGAAGUAUUUCGGUAUGUAAAGCUCUAUCAGCAGGGAAGAAAAUGACGGUACCUGACUAAGAAGCCCCGGCUAACUACGUG